GGGUAAACUGGAACUCGUUUAUUGGUAGCCACAACUGACCUUAUAUGCAGUUCCCCAUGCAAAGGGCACUCCCCCCUGGACCUGAGAGUAGACUACAGUAAAAAACACAAUUACAUUGGCUCUCAGGUCCAGGAUACUCCCACAUAAAACAAGAUAAUCCCUCCUCUGUGCCUGGGAGAUAAUUGAGUCAGGGACUGUACUAAACUCAAAUAUCUCCAGGUACAGAAAACAUACAUAUUUUAAAAACCCUUAAAAUGCCUUUAGACACACAAACCCCCACAAAAGUUACAUCCCCUGAUAGCCCCGAUCUGGGUGACCAACAUAUCCAAAAAUCACCCAGAUUGGUUAAGGAAUUUUCUGGAAGUCAUAAUUUGACCGACCGCACUCAUGGUCCCAUGUCCAAAACAGUUCCAGAGAAUCAGGGCUUGCGGUCAAUCUAGUUCGGUAGUUUAAAAGCCAAACAAACUACCGAACAUAGCCAAUGUUCUUACCCUGGAGCUUGUUCACCUUGUUCGUGGAAACAAUCCCACCAAACAGUGCCCUUCUAAGUGGUGUAGAACCGAAUGCAAGCGAUCCUGCAGUGACAGACAGCCAAGGGGGAAAUAAAAAUGGAAACAAUAAUGGUGCAGUUUGUUCCACAGUGGAUAAAAGGUAAUAAAAAAUAGUAGAUACACUCACAUUUAAUAGAGCUUAUACCAGCUCUAGUAUGGUAGGCUUGCAGCGGUAUGAUCCCCGCUUCUGGGAUAUAUGAGGAGUGAUCUUGGAGAUGGUCACAGGAGCUCAGAGGGAAGAUAAUAAAACAGCAAUAGUGCUCUCAGUAAAAUAUUGCUAGCAUAAAAAGUAUAAUAAAAUAUACUCACAGAUGAUAGGGUAGGCUAACUGCUCUAUGACAAGGGCAUAUGUGGUAUGAUCCCCACCUCGGAUUCUUGGAGUACAAGACAAGAGUAAAAUAAAGUAAAAAGCCAGGUAAUAGUAAUAAAAAUUUAAAUAAAAGAUGAUGGUACAAGUAUAAAAAGGACCAAACAUUUUUAAUCCAUUGAUAAAGCCUAUAUGGAGAAACGCGUUUGGAUAUUAUAAUGCUUUUUAAUUAUUGUUAAUAAAUAGAUUUUGGUCCUUUUUAUACUUGUACCAUCAUCUCUUAUUUACAUGAAGUGUAAAAAGGAAGUGCUUUCCCUCAAUCGAAACCCACUGUGGGCGUUGUUGAGUCGCAGCUGCCUGCAUCAAAGGUGCAAGCACAGCCGCCUUGUAGUAAAGGAGAUCAGGGACCCUAGUGCCUCCCUCAUCAUAGUGUCUACAUAGGUGUUUUAAUGAUACUGGGUUUUUUUUCCUGCCCAUACGAACUUUGUUAAAUCUGUCUGUGCCUUAUUAAAGAAAGACAAGGGUUCUAGUAUUGGUAGUAGGCGGAAAAUAUAUUGUAGUUUAGGCAGUAACAUAAUUUUAAAGGCAGCUGCUCUCCCUACCCAUAAAAUAUACUUCUCUCCAGUCCCGUAUUUGAAGUUCUAUCUCUUUCCAGAUCCUGACAUAGUUAUUAAUAAAGAGGUCCCGAGGGUUUCGCGACAAACAGAGGCCUUGGAACUUUAGGUGCUUGUCUGACCAAUCAAAUUUAUACUUUGACCAAAGAAAUUGGGUGGCCGCUCGAGUAAGGUUAAUUCCCAUAGCUUGGGAUUUUGAUUUGUUUCAUUUGUAGUAAGACACAGCCCCGUAGUCCAUCAGGAGUUAGUGGACUGCUGGUACAGAUGCUAGUGGCUGGGUUAGUGUGAUCAGGACGUCGUCUGCAAACAGACUGAGCUUGUGUUCUUUCUUCCCUAUUUUGAUGCCAUGGAUAUUGGGCGAGGAUCGUAUCAUAGCUGACAUAAGUUAUCAUGCUAAUAUGUACAAAAGCGGCGACAGGGGGCAUGCCUGCCUCGUCCCAUAAGUUAGCGUGAAUCUAGUAGAGGUGAAGCCACCGUUGGAUACCACCGCCGUUGGUCUAUAAUAAAGGCCCAUGACCGGAGAAUGCCAAACUCUACCAGUGCAGAGACCAAGAAUCCCCAGCCCAACCGGUCAAACGCUUUUUCUGCAUCCAGCGAGAGCAGGAGGCCCUCGGUCCCAGCCUCUCUCAUGUGACACAACAGGUCCACCACUGUGAGUGUUAUCUGCCCCCUGGCAGCCAGUCACAAACCCCACUUGGUCCAUCUAACGGAUCACCUGGCUCCCCGACUGGGUACCUCCGUUGAAGGAUGCUCCUAGCACUUCCUGAAGACUCCAAGCACUGCAGCAGACACCACAACCACCAAACCGGAGAAGCAUACGAAUGCUCUCAAGCAUAUGAAUGCUGUAAGCAGCUGAACAGGAAAAGCAUACAAUCAGCUUACACUCCUGGCAAUCAGCAUACAAUCCAAUUCCCCCAAUAACGAGACGACACUUCGUUUUAAGGUCAGAACUGAACUUUUAAUCACACAACCUUCUUUUAAAGCUUUCUCCCAUGCAAGAGAGGGAUUUACAGUAAUUACACAAUACACCAAUCAUACACGAGUUGCCACCCACACAUCCCCUCCCCUUAGUGUGACACAUAAUCCCAUUAUGUAAGACACAGUUCCCCUUGUUUUCUGGAUGUACCCCUAAACCUAGGAGUAUCCCUUUAAAUAUUACAUCCCCUGGUGGCCCUGAUCUGGGUGAGACACAUAUCCAAAAAUCACCCAGAUCAGAUCAGGGGUUCAGGAGUUAUGGGGGUUUCAAGUUUUGUGGAGGUCCCUUUUGGUCAACUGAAACAUGGCUUUCCAGAUCAAACCAGUUCCAGCUAGUCUGGCAGUGUGCCUGGGACAACGCCCUGCUGGAGAACAAUGGGACAGGAAACGGGGGAGGGGUACACCUUCCUAUACACAAUCUAUACACAGUCUAAUAGAAGUCCAUACACGGUGCUUAAAGGGCCAGUAGCCACAUAAUAAAAAUCCAUCAUGCCCAAAUACCCCCAGGGCCAUAGUCACAUGGCAGGAGGCGGGCAAGCAAGCCCCUCCAAAAGCUCAUGGCAAACUCUCUUAAAGGGUUGAGUUUGCUACAUAUCUCCCUUUUCCCAUUGAGACUAUCCAGACUCCAGACCUCCCAAUGGUCUGGUGCUCUGAUAGUCUGCCGGCCUUUCUCAAAAGGUGUAGUUGUCCAGAUGGCCUCCUGCCACCUGUGCCCAGUUGUAGAUCCCGGGUCUUGUGGAAAAACAACCAGGAUGCCUUCUCCCCUGGUUGGACAAAGCUUUUGCUGGGGAUGGCGGAUGCAGUUCCCCUCCUCUAGACCUGGUGGGUCGAGGUCCGCAAAACUUUGCUCUGUGGUCCUCGGUGCCCUUGAUGUAGAUGGUGUGCCAUCAGGAUCUAAGGCAAAAGGGAAGAGAGGGCAGAAGCAGCCUGCUUUCUGACCGGUUGCCAGCUUUUCUUCCUGCAACACUCUCCCUUGUUGUAGGGGAGAACCGACUGUUUCCCCUUCCAAUAAAUGGUCCCGCUGUUGGGAAGGGGAAACAGCCUUCUCCCCUUCCAAUAACAUGCUCAGCCACUCCAACAUCACACUUGGUUGCUGGAGGGGGGGGCAGACUGUCUCCCCCUUGGCUAAAUGGUCCUGCUGUCGGGAAACAGGACACCCCCGGUGGUGCAGGUGCAGAGACUACAGUCCCAUCUGUACUGUUGUGGGGCUUAUUGUCUCCCCUUGGUGGGCUAUGCUGCCGCUGAUAAGGGAGGACGCUGCUCUCCCCUCCCAGUGAAACACACUGCCGCUUGGGAUCUGGGUCAACCGUCGUAAUGUUAGCCAGUAGCAUAUCUGGCGGUAAGCCUUUGCCGUGGUUGGUGAAGUUAAACAGCUUCGUCAGGUAUGGUUCUAGAAGAUCCCCAAAGACCUGGUAAUAUUUGCUUGUAAGGCCGUCCGGCCCCGGCGCUUUGUCGGCAGUCCCGAAAUCGUCUUAAGUAUCUCUGCAUCCGAUAAAGGUGCUGUCAGUGAUCCUGCUUGGUCAUUGGUCAAUUUGGGGAGGGAUACCAGUGUCAGGAAUUCUUGGAACUGUUCCUUAGAUGGUGUCAUGUUUGGUUGGUCAGUCUGUAUGUUUUAUAGUGCCUUGUAGAAUGUCGCAAAAGUCUCGCUGAUGUCUUGAGGUUUGCGUACUAUUUUCAUAUUUGUACGUAUGUGGGUGAUACGUUGUUUUGCCUGUCUGUGUUUGAGCAUAUUGGCCAAUAACUUGCCUGCCCUAUUUCCCUGGUGGAAAAUCUAGAUUUUAGUUUGUGUAGGUGGAGGUUCAUUUUGUGUAGGUUGUCCUCCUCAAUUAGGGAUUUUAGUGCCUGUAUCUUUUUAGCCAGCUCUCUGGAUGCUUUUCGUUUGUUUUGUUUGGUUAGGUAUUCUAAUUGGAGGAGCCAGUCUUACAUUUGUGAUUCCCUUUGCCGUUUUUGUUAUGUCGUCCUCCUUUUAAAAAUGCCUCUAAUCACAGACUUGUGAGCUAACCAUAUAUUGUCUAAGGAAGUCUCCCGUGUCAUUCCUAGUAAAAUAGUCUUGUAGUUCUACCCUAGCAUUCUUAACAAAGUCUACAUCUUGGAGUAGUGAUUCAUCAACCUCCAGUAUCCUUUCCCUUUGUAGGUGUAAGCAUCUCUUAUGUGUAGAAAGACUAGCGCCUGAACCCCUGAUCUGAUCUGGGUGUCCUAUCACGCAUUUGUCUAUUUGAGUCAGGUCCGUAGGCGAGAUGUAAAAGAGAUCCAAUCUCGUGUAAGAGUUGUGGACCGCUGAGUGGGAAGUAUAAUCUCUUUCGUUAUCAUGUAAUGUGCGCCACAUAAGUUGUGAAACUGAAUACGGGACCAUAAAGAUUUGCAGGAGCCCUGUAGCGUCUUCAGUCUUGGUUUUGUGAACUGAGCUGAAGAAUCCAGGCCUGGUUCCAUCCUGUCUAUUUAUUACAUAGCACCUCCAAAAAAUGAGCCUGAUUGGAAUUUGGGAAGUAGGCUUUCGUUAUAGUAUAGGUAAUGGUAAUUUUAUUUACAAUGCAGACUAGUAUUGGAUCUGAGAGUUUGCGCAGGAGAGUAAAUGCUAUGUUAUCGUUGACCAAAAUGCAUAGCCCUCUUGCCUUCGUGUGGGCCGGGGACUUAUAUUGCCUGAUAUAUUGUUUUGAGUAUAAGGAUUGCGGUGGCUGUUUGUUAAAGUAGGUCACUGCCAUUUGGACAAAUCUUUGUAUAGGUUAAGUUUGUGUUGGGUAUUCAAUGCCUUAACGUUGUGUGUGACUAUUUUCAUAAAUCAGAUCUCGGGUGUAUGUGCUUGUGAGUGUCUGUUCUGGCCUUAUCAGAAGUGCUGGUAGUGGGGGAGUGGGAGGGUAGUGGAGGGAAGGGUACAUAACCAUAAAACAUUAUAUACAAAAACAAAUUAUUUACAAACAAAACAGCCCAUAUCCUAUCUCCCAAGGGGGUGGAGAUGCCAUCAACUGGGCCAUGGCAACUCCCUGGGGUCGUGGUAAUUGUGAACCAUUCCAGUGUGUUUAAGUAGUCAGCCCACUGGCUAUGGCACUAUUCGCUGACUGCAUAUAAUGCUUAGGUCCCAUUAACUGCCUGAUAACCAACUAGCCCAUAUAUUCGGUGCCUAGUCUCUUGCCGCUAUACAAACAAAAUUUCCCUUUUUGUUUUUGUGAGAAUCAGUGACAACUUUAAGCGUAACAUCUCCAAGGUGUGGGUCUCCUAGUAUGAGUCCCAGGCCUGUGAUAGCCACUUGGAAUAAUAAGGGAAGAGUGCCUCUAUUAUGGCUUCUUGCCUAUAGAAGUAAAAAUAUCAGCUCCGCCUUACAUGCUAGUAACAGAACUAACAAGUAUAGACAUGCGGGACAACUCUACGUUACCCAAAGGGGUCGCCCCAUUCGGGCUGUAACAGCACGUGCUUCAGAGAAUCAGUUCCUUUACUGGACCUUUUGCCAUUCAGGGGACAGUCUCCUUGGGCGGGAUGCGAGUGGUUUUUAAGGGGGCUGAAUAGGUAUGUCCCAGUCCUGUAAGAUCUAACGUCCUUCUUCCACCAUCUUGAUCGUGUGUAAGGUUUUUCAUUACAAGUAGUUUGGUUGGGAAUCCCCAUCUGUACGGCACGUUUUGAGCCCAAAGAGAUUAUGUGAUUUGCGAGAGUUACCUUCUUUGGAACAGUGUGGCCGGGGAAAGGUCUGCAUAGAGUUGUAGAGCUUUGUAUUCCGCUAGCGGUCCAUUCUUGUGGCUGGCUUUCAUGAUUUGAUCUUCAAUGUGGAAGUAAUGGAUUCGCAUAAGCACAUCCGUAUGUGUUUCUGCCUCCCCACCCUGUGAAUGCGAUCUAUGAUGAGGAAGAAGGUUGUAACGUAAUGGAGCAAUUGCCUGGUUUCUAUGGACUCUGAUAUGACCCUUAUGCACACAUUGUUCCUCCUGGAACGAUCCUCAAGGCCAGUCAGCUUGUCUUCAGAGGUUUUCAGUCUGUGUUCUAUGUGUUGCAUUGCAUCAACCAUGCUAUUGUGGGCCUCCGCAUGCUCUGCCAGUUUAUUCUCUGUGUGAUGUGUGCUCACCCAGAUCAGCCACAUCUUUGGUGAGAGUCGCCACGGUCUCUCGGAAUUGAUGCAUCAUUAAGUGCUUCCAGCAAGGAUUUCAUCUUCAUUUCUGUGAUCAGACCAUCACCUCCCGUCGGAGCUUCGUAUUCCAGGUCUGAGAGCGGAGCCUCAGUCCCCACUUCGGCGCCAUCUUGUUCACUGUUAGGCGGUCUUUUGGACCUGCAGGCUGUUUGUGUGAAGAAGGCAGCCUUGUCUGCUUUUGUUUUAUUUUUCAACGCCAUCUGUCCCAGCAGCUUGUUAACUCACGGUAGAAGGCUUGAGUACCUUGCUAUUCCGCAGUUUUAGUCCCUAUUACCGUCAUGUUAUGCCGAUCGCGUAGGAGCACAAGAUUUAUGCGACCAUUCCCGUUGGCUGUUGGCCACGCCCACCGUUCCUAUACCUUUGUUGUUUUUUUUCCCAAUUUGCCAAUUUUUAUUGGUUUGCAUAAUGUGAGGAGUACAGCAUGGAAGAAGGAAAAAAGGGGGGAGGGGAGAAUUAAUUUAAUCAGUAUAAAAUUUAGGCUCGUACAGAAUAGGCAAUGAAUACAGAUAUAAUAUACAUGUCAUUCACAUAAGGACAUUGUCUCGUCAUCAGGUUUCACAGUUCAUCCAGCACUCUAAACAGGCGCAUCGUAUGCCUGGUACAGACCUAUAGGAGGUAGGGCCUUCAUAUCCCUCACUUCACGUUGACAUUUAAUUGUCAUGAUAGUUCAUUUGGUAGGCGAUCUCCACGAGUACCACAUACCCCAUGCUUUACGGGAGGUUUGAUUGGGAGGGAAUUGUGUUUUCAAGUCCUGCUCAUAUGAGCUCUGUGUAUCCAGGUCAGUGAGUAAGCGCUGAGACACAGGGGGCCUUUUUUCCCCCAGUUUUUUUAGGAAUUACCCUCUGUGCUGUCAGCACAAUGUGUAGUAGCAAUUUUAGUGUGGCCCUAGGUUAGCCCACCAGUAGGUCAAUUAGUAACAGCUGUAGGGGUGCUAGUGGGAUGGAGCACCCAGUUGUUGCCUGUGCAACGCUAUGUACACCUGCCCAGAAGGUUUGAAUGCGUGUGUGACGAGACCAAUCUCGCCGCAUUGCAUUGGAGAAGCCUGGUUGCUCACCUGUUGCCUUUGGAUUAUGGCCCCAUGUUAAAAGGCUUGAUUUUCCCCUGCAAAGACAUGAAAGCCGGGUCAUUCGGUGCUUGCCCUGUUUGAGCGGUGAUACCCCAGAUAGCUAUGCCAUGGUGCCC
RNAcentral lists this long non-coding RNA (7740 nucleotides) under Pelobates cultripes (western spadefoot toad). The record is from RNAcentral. Lineage: Eukaryota; Metazoa; Chordata; Amphibia; Anura; Pelobatidae.